RNAcentral lists this ribosomal RNA (247 nucleotides) under uncultured bacterium. RNAcentral's name for it is "partial 16S ribosomal RNA". It matches the Rfam family "Bacterial small subunit ribosomal RNA", at positions 333 to 577 of the family's 1533-position model. The record is from RNAcentral.
UUGCCCCUACGGGGGGCAGCAGUGAGGAAUAUUGGUCAAUGGCCGAGAGGCUGAACCAGCCAAGUCGCGUGAGGGAAGACGGCCCUACGGGUUGUAAACCUCUUUUGUCGGGGAGCAAAGCGAACCACGUGUGGUUCAUUGAGAGUACCCGAAGAAAAAGCAUCGGCUAACUCCGUGCCAGCAGCCGCGUUAAUACGGAGGAUGCGAGCGUUAUCCUGAUUUAUUGGGUUUAAAGGUUGCUCAGUCG